Hyaena hyaena (striped hyena) is the source of this 259-nucleotide long non-coding RNA. RefSeq lists it as uncharacterized. The transcript has 2 exons. Lineage: Eukaryota; Metazoa; Chordata; Mammalia; Carnivora; Hyaenidae. The record is from RefSeq and is a predicted model, not a curated record.
GGAUGUGUGCUGUGUGUUAAGGCUCUCAUGUGGAAUUCAUGCAAAGAAAGCAAAAAGAGCCUUUUAUGAUUUGAACGAUGAUGGCCUUGGGUUAAAUCCUUCUCAUAUUUGUAUCUUAAUAUUCAGAGGAGUCAUCACUAAGUCUACUAUAGCUGAAAAUAAGGAGUUUGAUGAGAAUGAAGAUCAUGAAAAGUUCUCCAAUGGUUCAUGGACUUGAGCACAUUUUCAUGUACCUGCUGGCCAUUAGAAUAUCCUUUUU